GAUCCUGGCUCAGAUUGAACGCUGGCGGCAGGCCUAACACAUGCAAGUCGAACGGUAGCAGGAAGAAGCUUGCUUCUUUGCUGACGAGUGGCAGACGGGUGAGUAAUGUCUGGGAAACUGCCUGAUGGAGGGGGAUAACUACUGGAAACGGUAGCUAAUACCGCAUAACGUCGCAAGACCAAAGAGGGGGACCUUCGGGCCUCUUGCCAUCGGAUGUGCCCAGAUGGGAUUAGCUAGUAGGG
Molecule: ribosomal RNA, 242 nt
Filed under: uncultured bacterium
Lineage: Bacteria
Description: partial 16S ribosomal RNA
Rfam family: Bacterial small subunit ribosomal RNA
Source: RNAcentral